This 253-nucleotide ribosomal RNA is filed under the name uncultured prokaryote. Its description in RNAcentral is "partial 16S ribosomal RNA". It matches the Rfam family "Bacterial small subunit ribosomal RNA", at positions 524 to 776 of the family's 1533-position model. The record is from RNAcentral.
UACGUAGGGAGCAAGCGUUGUCCGGAAUCACUGGGCGUAAAGAGCACGUAGGCGGUUAUUUAAGUCAGAUGUGAAAACCAAGGGCUCAACCCGUGGAUUGCAUUUGAAACUGGAUAACUUGAGGACAGGAGAGGUAAGUGGAAUUCCUAGUGUAGCGGUGAAAUGCGUAGAUAUUAGGAGGAACACCAGUGGCGAAGGCGACUUACUGGCCUGUAACUGACGCUGAGGUGCGAAAGCGUGGGGAGCAAACGGG